CCUACGGGUGGCAGCAGUGGGGAAUAUUGGACAAUGGGGGGAACCCUGAUCCAGCGACGCCGCGUGAGUGAAGAAGUAUUUCGGUUUGUAAAGCUCUAUCAGCAGGGAAGAAAGAAGUGACGGUACCUGACUAAGAAGCCGCCGCUAACUACGUCCCAGCAGCCGCGGUAAUACGUAGGGGGCAAGCGUUAGCCGGAUUUACUGGGUGUAAAGGGAGCAUAGACGGCGUUGCAAGUCUGAAGUGAAAGGCGGGGGCCCAACCCCGGGACUGCUUUGGAAACGGGAUGGCUGGAGUGCAGGAGAGGUAAGUGGAAUUCCUGGUGUAGCGGUGGAAUGCGUAGAUAUUAGGAGGAACACCAGUGGCGAAGGCGACUUACUGGACUGUAACUGACGUUGAGGCUCGAAAGCGUGGGGAGCAAACAGGAUUAGAUACCCGGGUAGUC
RNAcentral lists this ribosomal RNA (443 nucleotides) under uncultured bacterium. RNAcentral's name for it is "partial 16S ribosomal RNA". It matches the Rfam family "Bacterial small subunit ribosomal RNA", at positions 338 to 795 of the family's 1533-position model. The record is from RNAcentral.